UCUUAGCUUGCUAAGGCCGAUGGCGACCGGCGCACGGGUGAGUAACACGUAUCCAACUUGCCGUCUACUCUUGGACAGCCUUCUGAAAGGAAGAUUACUACAAGAUGGCAUCAUGAGUCCGCAUGUUCACAUGAUUAAAGGUAUUCCGGUAGACGAUGGGGAUGCGUUCCAUUAGAUAGUAGGCGGGGUAACGGCCCACCUAGUCUUCGAUGGAUAGGGGUUCUGAGAGGAAGGUCCCCCACAUUGGAACUGAGACACGGUCCAAACUCCUACGGGAGGCAGCAGUGAGGAAUAUUGGUCAAUGGGCGAGAGCCUGAACCAGCCAAGUAGCGUGAAGGAUGACUGCCCUAUGGGUUGUAAACUUCUUUUAUAAAGGAAUAAAGUCGGGUAUGGAUACCCGUUUGCAUGUACUUUAUGAAUAAGGAUCGGCUAACUCCGUGCCAGCAGCCGCGGUAAUACGGAGGAUCCGAGCGUUAUCCGGAUUUAUUGGGUUUAAAGGGAGCGUAGAUGGAUGUUUAAGUCAGUUGUGAAAGUUUGCGGCUCAACCGUAAAAUUGCAGUUGAUACUGGAUAUCUUGAGUGCAGUUGAGGCAGGCGGAAUUCGUGGUGUAGCGGUGAAAUGCUUAGAUAUCACGAAGAACUCCGAUUG
RNAcentral lists this ribosomal RNA (648 nucleotides) under uncultured Bacteroides sp. RNAcentral describes it as "bacterial SSU rRNA". It matches the Rfam family "Bacterial small subunit ribosomal RNA", at positions 73 to 715 of the family's 1533-position model. Lineage: Bacteria; Pseudomonadati; Bacteroidota; Bacteroidia; Bacteroidales; Bacteroidaceae. The record is from RNAcentral.